Molecule: non-coding RNA, 180 nt
Filed under: bacterium SCSIO 12696
Lineage: Bacteria
Description: 6S RNA
Rfam family: 6S / SsrS RNA
About the family: E. coli 6S RNA was the first non coding RNA to be sequenced, but its function was unknown until recently. It consists of 184 nucleotides that fold into an extended hairpin structure with a large single-stranded internal bulge.
Source: RNAcentral
ACAACCCUGGGGUGUUCGCCAGUCAACGAAUGUCCUGAGCCGAUAGCGUUACCCCCGGAAGUUCGUUGUUGCCACUGUUGUGCAAGUCCGUGCGGCGGAAAGCCUGAUGUGGUACUGGAGCCUCCACCUUGAAUCGUACGGUUCAAGGCUAACGUUGACAGCGGCACACCUGGGGCCUUU